Molecule: ribosomal RNA, 189 nt
Filed under: uncultured bacterium
Lineage: Bacteria
Description: partial 16S ribosomal RNA
Rfam family: Bacterial small subunit ribosomal RNA
Source: RNAcentral
UCGGCUGCAUGAAGCCGGAAUCGCUAGUAAUCGCGGAUCAGAACGCCGCGGUGAAUACGUUCCCGGGUCUUGUACACACCGCCCGUCACACCAUGGGAGUCGGGAACGCCCGAAGUCGGUGCCCCAACCUAACGGAGGGAGCCGCCGAAGGCAGGCCCGGCGACUGGGGUGAAGUCGUAACAAGGUACC